GUACGGGGGCGGCGAGCGGGGCUCGGCUCCUCCUCGUCCCGCGCCAGCGCCGCGCCCGGCCGCAUUCUCGGGGCCCGAGGCUCAGCCGCUCGCGGUGGAGAAAGCAGGCCGCGGAGGAGGCGGGCGCCCAGGCCUGCCCGGACAGGAAGUGGGCCCAGCUUUCCCACUCCUCGCUCCGCUCCUUCCUCCGCGGGAAGGGCAGGCCCCGGAGGCAGCGAGCGCCCCGGGGGUGGCCGGGCAGCCGGAUGCUCCCGGGGUUGCGGGCUGUGGCCCCGGGGGCUGAGGGCGGCGCGGGUGCGGCGGAAGCAGGGAAGCCGCGAACCGGCCUUCUGGCUGGCCACAGCGCCCUGCACGGACGAUCAGUGAAUGGAGAUUACUCAAGUAUUUAUCGAGAACUUGCAGUGGGCUAGGCACAGUUCAGGUCCACAGUUAUUUCACUUCUAAAUAAAUAUGGUUUUUUAAAAGUGGCACGCGGUGGAAUGUAAUUGAGACAGGAUGGAGUUCCUAGAGAAAUUUUACUUCCUCAAUCUGCACUCCACCUUACUUAAAAUACAGUCUUGGGUCUGUAAUUCCCUUAUCUGACUCUCAAGGAAAUGACAAAGUAAUGCCUAGAUUGGACUAAACCUCAUUUAACUUCAAGGCUGACCUUUCUCAAAGUUGAACCUUCGUCUUGUGAGGAACAGAAAGAUCAAGAACUCUGAAGCACCUCGACUUUCCACCUGUGAAGAUGUGUUCAAAUUUGCAACGUGCGGCCACACCUAUGAGGUUGAACUUUAUACAAUUGGUUUCUUUAUAGGUUUAGAUGGUUGAAUUUAAGUUACCCCCACUGCUAUUAUUAUUAUUUUGAGACAGAGUCUUAACUCUGUUGCCCAGGCAGGAGUGCAGUGGCGAGAUCUGGACUCACUGCAACCUCUGCCUCCUGGCUUCAAGCAAUUCUCAUGCUUCAGCCUGUAGCUGGAACUACAGGUCACUCCCUCUGGAGGAAACCAGCUGCCACUUUGUGAGGAUACUCAUAGUCCUGUGGAGGCAUAUCCUCCAUAUGGCUGAGACCUCCUGCGAACAACCAUCACUGACUUGCCAGACAUGAGUGUGCCACCUUGGAAGCAGAUUUUCCAGCCCCAGUUAAGCCUUCAGAUGACAUCAGCCCCUGCUAAUCUCUUGACUACAACCUCAUGAGAGACCCUGAGCCAGAACUAGCCAGGCUUACCCCUCAUGGUUACAAAGUGGCUGCAACAGCUCCAGGUGUUCUAUCCUUUAACACAGAAUAACUCAAACAACAAGACCCAAUAUUCAGACAAGAAGGAAAGGGACUUUUGGAGAGUGAAGAAAACUUUCCUAGAAACCUCAAACUUCUCCCCAUGCCUUAUUGGCCAGAUUGUAUCCCAUGCCCAUUUCUAAACCAAUCAUUGGCAAAGUGAGUGGAAUUGACGUGAUUAGAUUAACUUUACCAAGAAUGCAUCCUCAGAGAGGCUGAGAAAAAGUCCAGCCUCCUUUGAAGAGCCUGGCUACCUUUCACCUGAACAAAACAAGAAUUCUGAUGAAAAAUGGAGAAUGUAUGUGGAGCAGGCACCCGGAGUGUCUAUGCCAGGAUUUUUUUUCAGUGCGUUUCACCGGUUAUAUUUUUGUCUCUUUACCUUACAAGAUAUGUGGCACGUUUGCCUAAAACAAGCCUUGCUUUCUGAUUUCUGUGCACUAGGCACUUAAACCUUGCAAAUGUCGCUUACCUAACAGUCACUGUCAAGGAGUACCUGGCUAAAGAAUCUCCAGCUAGACAAAGUAGAAGUGUCUGUGCUCUGGCAGUUGAAUAUAUUGUAUCAGGCUCAACAGCACCUUUCACCAAAGGAUGAGACUUCACAACCAUUAGAUCUUCUUUUAUUUUGUUUUUAUUAAAAAAAAAAAUUUUAACACACCAUUGCUAACUUGAAGCCAUUAGAUCUUCUUACCCCCAAUACCACAAAAGUUUAGUGGAAUCAGGGGUAUACCAAGGCAGGUGGAGUAGGGGAGCUGGGAGUGGUCAGCCCCCAGGGCAGGCAAUGAGGGAUUGUGAAUCUGUGAAGAAUUUUAAAGCAAUGAUACAGCUCUAAAUGCAAUGUACUAUCCUGGACUUAGCCCUGGAAAAGAAAAAAGAUAUUAGUGGAAAAACUGGUAAAAUUCAAAUAAUGUCUGUAGUUUGGUUAAUAGUAUUAUACCAAUGUUAAUUUCUGUGUUUUGAUAAAUGUACCAUGGUUAUGUAAGCUGGAUGAAAGAUAUGUGGGAAAUCUCUCUACUAUUUCUGCAACUCUCCUGUAAACCUAAAAAUGUUUCAAAAUAAAAGAUUUA
RNAcentral lists this long non-coding RNA (2319 nucleotides) under Homo sapiens (human). RNAcentral describes it as "HSALNT0334641". The record is from RNAcentral. Lineage: Eukaryota; Metazoa; Chordata; Mammalia; Primates; Hominidae.